Molecule: long non-coding RNA, 206 nt
Filed under: Elaeis guineensis (African oil palm)
Lineage: Eukaryota; Viridiplantae; Streptophyta; Magnoliopsida; Arecales; Arecaceae
Description: long non-coding RNA (EGUI_LNC082866)
Source: RNAcentral
CUCUUGCUGCUGUUUCCUGAUGUGUGGUGGCAGCACAAAGCAAGAAAAAAGGUUAGAGAAGAGGAGAAGAAGAAGAUCAAAAAAAAAAGAUCAAAUAUUGAUCGCGAUCCAGACUUCAUUCAGAUUCAGCAUGCUGAAUUUUCUUAGAAAAGAAAAUUCAAAUUCUAGAGGACUGUUCCAAGCUGAUUUUGAGUGGAUACCCAUAG